Molecule: ribosomal RNA, 2923 nt
Filed under: Klebsiella pneumoniae
Lineage: Bacteria; Pseudomonadati; Pseudomonadota; Gammaproteobacteria; Enterobacterales; Enterobacteriaceae
Description: bacterial LSU rRNA
Rfam family: Bacterial large subunit ribosomal RNA
Source: RNAcentral
GGGUUGUGAGGUUAAGCGACUAAGCGUACACGGUGGAUGCCCUGGCAGUCAGAGGCGAUGAAGGACGUGCUAAUCUGCGAAAAGCGUCGGUAAGGUGAUAUGAACCGUUACAGCCGGCGAUGUCCGAAUGGGGAAACCCAGUGCAAUUCGUUGCACUAUCGUUAACUGAAUACAUAGGUUAACGAGGCGAACCGGGGGAACUGAAACAUCUAAGUACCCCGAGGAAAAGAAAUCAACCGAGAUUCCCCCAGUAGCGGCGAGCGAACGGGGAGCAGCCCAGAGUCUGAAUCAGCUUGUGUGUUAGUGGAACGGUCUGGAAAGUCCGACGGUACAGGGUGAUAGUCCCGUACACCAAAAUGCACAGGCUGUGAACUCGAAGAGUAGGGCGGGACACGUGGUAUCCUGUCUGAAUAUGGGGGGACCAUCCUCCAAGGCUAAAUACUCCUGACUGACCGAUAGUGAACCAGUACCGUGAGGGAAAGGCGAAAAGAACCCCGGCGAGGGGAGUGAAAAAGAACCUGAAACCGUGUACGUACAAGCAGUGGGAGCACCUUCGGGUGUGACUGCGUACCUUUUGUAUAAUGGGUCAGCGACUUAUAUUCUGUAGCAAGGUUAACCGUAUAGGGGAGCCGCAGGGAAACCGAGUCUUAACUGGGCGUUAAGUUGCAGGGUAUAGACCCGAAACCCGGUGAUCUAGCCAUGGGCAGGUUGAAGGUUGGGUAACACUAACUGGAGGACCGAACCGACUAAUGUUGAAAAAUUAGCGGAUGACUUGUGGCUGGGGGUGAAAGGCCAAUCAAACCGGGAGAUAGCUGGUUCUCCCCGAAAGCUAUUUAGGUAGCGCCUCGUGAACUCAUCUUCGGGGGUAGAGCACUGUUUCGGCUAGGGGGUCAUCCCGACUUACCAACCCGAUGCAAACUACGAAUACCGAAGAAUGUUAUCACGGGAGACACACGGCGGGUGCUAACGUCCGUCGUGAAGAGGGAAACAACCCAGACCGCCAGCUAAGGUCCCAAAGUCAUGGUUAAGUGGGAAACGAUGUGGGAAGGCACAGACAGCCAGGAUGUUGGCUUAGAAGCAGCCAUCAUUUAAAGAAAGCGUAAUAGCUCACUGGUCGAGUCGGCCUGCGCGGAAGAUGUAACGGGGCUAAACCAUGCACCGAAGCUGCGGCAGCGACACUAUGUGUUGUUGGGUAGGGGAGCGUUCUGUAAGCCUGCGAAGGUGUGCUGUGAGGCAUGCUGGAGGUAUCAGAAGUGCGAAUGCUGACAUAAGUAACGAUAAAGCGGGUGAAAAGCCCGCUCGCCGGAAGACCAAGGGUUCCUGUCCAACGUUAAUCGGGGCAGGGUGAGUCGACCCCUAAGGCGAGGCCGAAAGGCGUAGUCGAUGGGAAACAGGUUAAUAUUCCUGUACUUGGUGUUACUGCGAAGGGGGGACGGAGAAGGCUAUGUUAGCCGGGCGACGGUUGUCCCGGUUUAAGCAUGUAGGCUGGUUAUCCAGGCAAAUCCGGAUAAUCAAGGCUGAGGUGUGAUGACGAGGCACUACGGUGCUGAAGUAACAAAUGCCCUGCUUCCAGGAAAAGCCUCUAAGCAUCAGGUAACAUCAAAUCGUACCCCAAACCGACACAGGUGGUCAGGUAGAGAAUACCAAGGCGCUUGAGAGAACUCGGGUGAAGGAACUAGGCAAAAUGGUGCCGUAACUUCGGGAGAAGGCACGCUGGUGUGUAGGUGAAGUCCCUGCGGAUGGAGCUGAGACCAGUCGAAGAUACCAGCUGGCUGCAACUGUUUAUUAAAAACACAGCACUGUGCAAACACGAAAGUGGACGUAUACGGUGUGACGCCUGCCCGGUGCCGGAAGGUUAAUUGAUGGGGUUAUCCGUAAGGAGAAGCUCUUGAUCGAAGCCCCGGUAAACGGCGGCCGUAACUAUAACGGUCCUAAGGUAGCGAAAUUCCUUGUCGGGUAAGUUCCGACCUGCACGAAUGGCGUAAUGAUGGCCAGGCUGUCUCCACCCGAGACUCAGUGAAAUUGAACUCGCUGUGAAGAUGCAGUGUACCCGCGGCAAGACGGAAAGACCCCGUGAACCUUUACUAUAGCUUGACACUGAACAUUGAGCCUUGAUGUGUAGGAUAGGUGGGAGGCUUUGAAGCGUGGACGCCAGUCUGCGUGGAGCCAACCUUGAAAUACCACCCUUUAAUGUUUGAUGUUCUAACGUUGGCCCCUUACCGGGGUUGCGGACAGUGUCUGGUGGGUAGUUUGACUGGGGCGGUCUCCUCCCAAAGCGUAACGGAGGAGCACGAAGGUUAGCUAAUCCUGGUCGGACAUCAGGAGGUUAGUGCAAUGGCAUAAGCUAGCUUGACUGCGAGCGUGACGGCGCGAGCAGGUGCGAAAGCAGGUCAUAGUGAUCCGGUGGUUCUGAAUGGAAGGGCCAUCGCUCAACGGAUAAAAGGUACUCCGGGGAUAACAGGCUGAUACCGCCCAAGAGUUCAUAUCGACGGCGGUGUUUGGCACCUCGAUGUCGGCUCAUCACAUCCUGGGGCUGAAGUAGGUCCCAAGGGUAUGGCUGUUCGCCAUUUAAAGUGGUACGCGAGCUGGGUUUAGAACGUCGUGAGACAGUUCGGUCCCUAUCUGCCGUGGGCGCUGGAGAAUUGAGGGGGGCUGCUCCUAGUACGAGAGGACCGGAGUGGACGCAUCACUGGUGUUCGGGUUGUCAUGCCAAUGGCACUGCCCGGUAGCUAAAUGCGGAAGAGAUAAGUGCUGAAAGCAUCUAAGCACGAAACUUGCCCCGAGAUGAGUUCUCCCUGAGACUUUAAGUCUCCUGAAGGAACGUUAAAGACGAUGACGUUGAUAGGCCGGGUGUGUAAGCGCAGCGAUGCGUUGAGCUAACCGGUACUAAUGAACCGUGAGGCUUAACCUUACAACGCCGAAG